UACAGGGGGUGCAAACGUUGCUCGGAAUCACUGGGCGUAAAGCGCACGUAGGCGGAUUGUUAAGUCAGGGGUGAAAUCCUGGAGCUCAACUCCAGAACUGCCUUUGAUACUGGCGAUCUUGAGUCCGGGAGAGGUGAGUGGAACUGCGAGUGUAGAGGUGAAAUUCGUAGAUAUUCGCAAGAACACCAGUGGCGAAGGCGGCUCACUGGCCCGGUACUGACGCUGAGGUGCGAAAGCGUGGGGAGCAAACAGG
RNAcentral lists this ribosomal RNA (253 nucleotides) under uncultured bacterium. RNAcentral describes it as "partial 16S ribosomal RNA". It matches the Rfam family "Bacterial small subunit ribosomal RNA", at positions 524 to 776 of the family's 1533-position model. The record is from RNAcentral.